This 201-nucleotide long non-coding RNA is filed under the name Musa acuminata (dwarf banana). RNAcentral describes it as "long non-coding RNA (MACU_LNC011350)". The record is from RNAcentral. Lineage: Eukaryota; Viridiplantae; Streptophyta; Magnoliopsida; Zingiberales; Musaceae.
UUAAGUGUGCAGGAUUAACUAUGAUAACCAGAAAACACAAAGCAAGAAUACCAGAGUCAAGAUCGAUGGACAUUUAAGAGUCCGAAGAAUCGUCGGAGAUGCUGCCGAAACCAACCGAGAAGAAAUCGGGAACCUAUCGGAAUUUUCGGAAGUUCGCCGAAGAGAUCGUCGAAGGUUCACGGAGAUCACCGAGAAGGCUCG